UAAGAGCUCGGGUGAAAAAAAAAU
This 24-nucleotide non-coding RNA is filed under the name Mus musculus (house mouse). Lineage: Eukaryota; Metazoa; Chordata; Mammalia; Rodentia; Muridae. The record is from RNAcentral.